RNAcentral lists this small RNA (121 nucleotides) under Dasypus novemcinctus (nine-banded armadillo). RNAcentral's name for it is "Nuclear RNase P (ENSDNOG00000030351.1)". Lineage: Eukaryota; Metazoa; Chordata; Mammalia; Cingulata; Dasypodidae. The record is from RNAcentral.
CAGAAGCAGCUCCGCCAGGGCUCUCCCUGAGCAUCUGGGAGGUGAGUUCCCAGAGAACAGAGCUCUGUCUGAGGGUUUGGCUGAACCCCGCUUUGCUAAGGAGAUAGGCAUAUAACUCAGG